Molecule: ribosomal RNA, 254 nt
Filed under: uncultured bacterium
Lineage: Bacteria
Description: partial 16S ribosomal RNA
Rfam family: Bacterial small subunit ribosomal RNA
Source: RNAcentral
UACGUAGGGUGCGAGCGUUGUCCGGAAUUAUUGGGCGUAAAGAGCUCGUAGGCGGUGUGUCACGUCGGCCGUGAAAACCUGGGGCUCAACUCUGGGCGUGCGGUCGAUACGGGCAUCACUAGAGUUCGGUAGGGGAGACUGGAAUUCCUGGUGUAGCGGUGAAAUGCGUAGAUAUUGGGAAGAACACCAGUGGCGAAAGCGGACUUCUGGGUUGUUACUGACGCUGAGGUACGAAAGCGUGGGGAGCAAACGGG